CUCGCUUUGUCUCUCUCUCUGUCUCUCUCUAGUGGUCGUAUGCAUUGGAGAAGCCUAACACUGGUCAGCAGACGGCACGCAGCUCACAGGGACCCCCACCAAGAGGAGGACCAUGCAGGUAGAACACACAGAUCACCCUCACCAAGAGGAGGACCAUGCAGGUAGAACACACAGAUCACCCUCACCAAGAGGAGAACCAUGCAGGUAGAACACACAGAUCACCCUCACCAAGAGGAGAACCAUGCAGGUAGAACACACAGAUCACCCUCACCACGAGGAGGACCAUGCAGGUAGAACACACAGAUCACCCUCACCAAGAGGAAGACCAUGCAGGUAGAACACACAGAUCACCCUCACCACGAGGAGGACCAAGCAGGUAGAACACACAGAUCACCCUCACCGCGAGGAGGACCAUGCAGGUAGAACACACAGAUCACCCUCACCAAGAGGAGAACCAUGCAGGUGUUUCGGUUCCUUAUGCCAUAUGAUUGGUUAAACCUCCAGAAAAAGUCUUAAUCUUUACUUCACCUAAGAAGCCAAACAGUCCCCGAGCCUAAAUUAAUUAAUGAGACAGCUAACUGAGGGUGAAUAGGCCGGUGUGAGAGGCAGACGCAAGUGAGGUGAAGUUAACAGGCUAUUUUAAAGGGCCAGACUAUUCCCCAGGCCUGGGUACUUGUGGCUAUACAUUAUGCUAUAAGCCUCCCAGUGUGGACCAGUGACAAUGGCUAGCCUGUAUAGCAGCCUCCGUCACAGAGUGUGUUUAAACUUCAGAAAACCACAAGGUAGCGUUUACACGCGGUCAACACACCCCCGUGCGCACACACACUGUAACGGACACACACACACGUGGAUAAGCGCAUACGCACACGCACAUGCACUCUCACCAUAGACAACCCUCACUGAGCACUGUUUGCGUUAACCAAACAAACCUGUGUCUUCAGCCAUUUAUUUUCAGGCUUGCAGGGUUUUUUUCUCUCCCUCUCUCUUUUUUAAAAGUGCACAUCUGCCAAUGGUUUGUGAAUCAGGCGGCUAAAUUUACCACUUCGCGGUUAAACAUUUUUAUUCCUGGUUGUUUGGUGAGUAAAUUUGGGUUGUUAGUGGGGGUUAAAGAAGGAUGAUGUUUGAACCGUUAAAUAAAUACCCACCACACCUUUUACCUGCUGGUGGAAAACCACAUUUCAUUCAUUCAUUCAUUCAUUCAUUCACAGGGGAAAUGGGGAAGAACAUUUUUAUCCUAACGGGUGAAAAAAGUAGAAACACACGCGGACGUACGUUUCCACACCAGGCAUUUCUGUCCCCUCCUGUCCUAUGCUUAGACAUGGGCUGUUUCCUGUGUAUAUCAACAGUUAAUCCACUCUGGAGUUUACGUGAGGAACGUGGUGAAUGAUGCGGGGGAUAUUCUGGAGUUCAGGGACCAGGUCACCAAAGCCUCUCCGGCCCACGGUCACCUAGUGGUCACCACCUCUCUCCAGUACUAUGCCUCCAGUGCUAAGAACUGGAACACACCUCUCAUUUUUGACCUGAAGGAGGGGACCGUCAGCCUCAUUAUACAGGCUGAGAAACACUUCCUGUUGGACGGGGGUCUAUGUGUUCUCCUACGAGGGCCGUCUCAUCUCCACGCCCAGAUUCCCCGGCAUGAGAACGGACAUCCUCAAUGCCCAGUCAGUCUCCCUUAGCAACGCCACCAUCGCCAUCCGGGACAAGAGCGAUGAGAAGGAUGGAGGUGGUGGAGAUAGCUCUGGACCAGUGUGGCCCGUCCAGCGAGAGGAAGAUCGCAGUCAUAGACAAGAACCGUGACCUGUACCUGACCGCUGUGCAUCGCAUCAACAGAGAACACAACAUCUGCAAGAUAGGUCCACACCAUGUCCUAGAAUGACUCCGCUAACAUCCUGUGUGGUAUUCAGGACACACAGUUCACUGUGUGGCACUAUCCCGGUGCGGUCUUCUAGCCAGCGGACCUGCUGGCUAAAACACUCUACAUGAAAGACGCCAGUGAGUUCAGCCGUGCGGCCCACAUCCUGAACUAUGUGGGGACCCAGGUGACGGCUCGUUGGUGUACAGCAGCUUACCUACACCACCGUGCUGCAUGAGUACAGCGCCUCCUUUCGCUGGGAGGACGCACUGCGCCUCUGCCGCUUUGCCAAGGACCAGUUGCUGUGGGCGUGUCUCGCUGGCAUGGCAAUGGCCAAUAGGGAGAUGACGACAGUGGAGGUUGCCUAUGCUGCCAUUGGAGAGGGCGUUGGAGCUGGCAGUAAAACAUAAGACCCAUGUGGACACAGUGCAGGCCUACAGCCUCCAAGUUCCAGCAGGACUUUAGCAAGAAAGAGACCAACAAGAGGUUCAUGCAGUACGCUGACAGAUCCAGGUUAAGGAGAGAGAGAAGGCUGCCAUCACCUCUGUUGGGAGCAGCUUGGCCUCUCGACUCUGACCGUUGACCCCACACCUCUGACCUCAUCCAGGGAUCAAAUGUACAACAUAUUUUAAAGUCGUCAUUUAUCAAACGUGGUUAGUGUUAUUUUUGUGUUUGUGAUUUUUAUAAAAAAUAUAUUUUUACAAUUUAACUUAAAUGCCUUAUUCUCUUAGAAUGUACAUAUGUAGACGUUUAAUAAAUACAUAUUUAUCAGA
Molecule: RNA transcript, 2625 nt
Organism: Oncorhynchus kisutch (coho salmon)
Lineage: Eukaryota; Metazoa; Chordata; Actinopteri; Salmoniformes; Salmonidae
Gene name: decreased expression in renal and prostate cancer protein-like
Exons: 9
Source: RefSeq, a predicted model, not a curated record